RNAcentral lists this unclassified non-coding RNA (343 nucleotides) under soil metagenome. RNAcentral describes it as "partial contains 5.8S ribosomal RNA, internal transcribed spacer 2, and large subunit ribosomal RNA". The stretch from base 1 to 120 matches the Rfam family "5.8S ribosomal RNA", at positions 35 to 154 of the family's 154-position model. The record is from RNAcentral.
GAUGAAGAACGCAGCGAAAUGCGAUAAGUAAUGUGAAUUGCAGAAUUCAGUGAAUCAUCGAAUCUUUGAACGCACAUUGCGCCCGCUAGUAUUCUGGCGGGCAUGCCUGUCCGAGCGUCAUUUCAACCCUCAAGCCCCCGGGCUUGGUGUUGGGGAUCGGCGAGCCUCCGCGCCCGCCGUCCCCUAAAUCUAGUGGCGGUCUCGCUGUAGCUUCCUCUGCGUAGUAGCACACCUCGCACUGGGAAACAGCGCGGCCACGCCGUUAAACCCCCAACAUCUGAACGUUUGACCUCGGAUCAGGUAGGAAUACCCGCUGAACUUAAGCAUAUCAAUAAGCGGAGGA